RNAcentral lists this ribosomal RNA (257 nucleotides) under uncultured bacterium. RNAcentral's name for it is "partial 16S ribosomal RNA". It matches the Rfam family "Bacterial small subunit ribosomal RNA", at positions 793 to 1055 of the family's 1533-position model. The record is from RNAcentral.
GUCCACGCCGUAAACGAUGAGAACUAAGUGUUGGCGUGAGUCAGUGCUGAAGUUAACGCAUUAAGUUCUCCGCCUGGGUAGUACGGUCGCAAGACUGAAACUCAAAAGGAAUUGACGGGAACCCGCACAAGCGGUGGAGUAUGUUGUUUAAUUCGAAGAUACACGAAGAACCUUACCAGGUCUUGACAUACCAUUGACAGGGGCAGAGAUGCCCCUCUCCUUCGGGCAAAUGGAUACAGGUGGUGCAUGGUUGUCGU